Molecule: non-coding RNA, 13578 nt
Organism: Rattus norvegicus (Norway rat)
Lineage: Eukaryota; Metazoa; Chordata; Mammalia; Rodentia; Muridae
Source: RefSeq, a predicted model, not a curated record
CCUGGGCGAGUUUUCCUUCCGCGGGUGCCGGCAGCCGGGGCGCCGCCGCCCAAGCUGACUCCUCUCUCUCCCUCUCCGACCCCGGCAGGGCCCAGAGGUGAUUCUGCCUGCACGAUGUCCUCCUUCCUGGAGGCGAGCUCUUCCCAGGCGCCACGUCGCGAACAAAAAGAGAAAAGAAAAAAAAAAGAAAAGAAAAAUCAGAAGAAGCUGACAGAGAAGGGGGCGGUAACGGCGUUGGGGGUCACCUCGGCCACGGGAGGGCGCGCUAAGACAGCGGCGGGGUUUCCAAAGGCGACUCCAGGCUGGGGAUUUAGCUCAGUGGUAGAGCGCUUACCUAGGAAGCGCAAGGCCCUGGGUUCGGUCCCCAGCUCCAAAAAAAAAAAAAAAAAAAAAACCAAAGGCGACUCCACCAUGCAGUUUCCUGGGAAGAAGCAGAGGCUAGUGCCAGGGGACCUGGAGGCCUGGCGCCCCCGCGGACCCCUAGCCCGACCUCCGGUCUGCUCCCCAGGGACAGCAAGCAGCAAGCAGGGCGGGCUGCACCUUAAGAGCAGCAUCAUCAAGGUAGGUAGGAGACCCGCGUCCCUCCUUAGGCUCCUUCUGGCCCCCCUCCCCCGCCCUGGGAAAGCAGUGGCAGAAGGAGGCAAUGCAAAGUGAGCCCACUGGGUAGGGGAAGGGAGGGUUCAGGAAUGUAUGGAGAGCUGAAGCAGGGAUUGGAAAGCCUAUGGCAUUGGGAAAGAAUAGAGAGGUGCUCUGCAGUGUGCAUGAGAGCUGUGCUCUGACAUCCCCAGAGCAACUUGGGGCUGUCACCUCUCUCCAGAUGACUUGGAAUUAAAUGGCCUGUACCUGCAAGGGCAGGACAGGCUUUUCAGAGGCAGCUUAGCCUGGUGGCACACUCCCUGUAAUGUUUCCAUUGUAUGUUAAAGGACAGGGAUCAUGGGAAAAUAUUUCCUUAAAACCUCAGGCAAUGAAUUAUUAUUUAAUAGAUUUCUUCUGAUCUACUUUGUAAUUGGUUGCCCCUUGCAAGAGAUUGUAUUUGGAGGAUGUAAAAUACCCUCCUUCAAUUACUCGGAGAAAGGGAACAUAAACAGAGAUUUCCUCUUUUUUAGCCUCCAAAGCUCUGAGAGAUUACAGUUCUGCAUAAUUUAAUUCUUUCCUACCUGCUAUGAGAAGACCUCCAGAUCAGCAAGUUCCUUUGGAAUGGUUUUCUUGUUUUUGUUUGUGUUCCAUGCUGAUUAGAAAGCCAUGAAUUGUUUUGUGAAUUUUAAAUUUCAAGAGGUGGCACCCAGAGUUUAUGGUGGUUUCCUUCACACAUUGGAGUGUAGUUGCAGCAUAAAAAAAAAAUACUUCUUGUGACAAGAAGUGGAAAAAGAAAGUUGAUGAGCUAAGAAAAGUAGGGCCUUGAGCCAGAUCAACCAUUUGGCUUCCUCAAAUAUGGAGCAAGCAUGGAAUGUCGCAUUUUCAGAAUCGAUGGGGUUUUUAGGAUUGGGCAGUGAAUGCUGUCUGGGGCUAACCCGUCCCUUUUGUGGCUGACAACCCUUAGGAACAGGUCAGAAUGUGCCAACAGCACAGAGUUGGCACUGGUGGUGUUUGAACUCAGAAGUGCUCAAGAACUGUGAAAGUUUCUCUUUUAUCACCCUGGAUCCAUCUAGUGAAAUAGACCACUGUGAUGCUGUGUAAGAGGCCAUUGUGAGGGCUGCAGAGAUGGCUCAGUGGAUAAGAGCACCAAGUGUUCUUCCAGAGGUCCUGAGUUCAAAUCCCAGCAACCACAUGGUGGCUCAUAACCACCUGUAAUGAGUACUGAUGCCCUCUUCUGUUGUGUCUGAAGACAGAUGCAUUGUCUCACAUAUAAAUAAAUAAAUCUUACAAAAGAUUGUCAUCUACUGCAGUUUCUAUGUGGACAGGGCACAGUUGAAGGGCUUAAAGAUCAAGUACAUUGCCUGUCUUUAAAGAUCAAGUGUAUCACCUAACUUUUAAACCAAGAAAUGUAGUGUCUUUUUUGCUGCUUCUGUACCUUUUAAUGAUGUAUCUUUUCUCCUAUAACAUCAUUUGUUUCCAUGAUAGUUGUUUUCAAGUGUAUAUGAUCAUUGAUCCUAUUUGCAGAGCUAUUCAAUAUUUCUGUUUUCAUUGGUUAAAUAUUUGUGGUGAAUUUGCAUUGUGAUAUCAGUAAAAUGCUAUGUGAAAAUUUUAGAUAAUAUACCGGUUUGGGUAAUUGUAAUAACCUUUCACCUCAAGUGGUGGCCUGUUUACACAUUAAAAAGACUGGAAUGUACUACCAUCCAUAGCAGGAUUGAUAGGGAAGCACAAUGGACAGCAACAGUGCUGUUCCCUUUGACAGUUUUGAGAGCCAAGAAUGAAGUGUGAGUUGCCUAUUUGUGUCUUACAAAAUCAAGGCUUAGUGUCAUUACUGUAGGAGCCCAUGGAAAAAAUGAUGAGUUUUUCAGAAAUCACCAGUUAAAGAAAUGGUGGUAUUGCAUAUAUUUAACUCUGAGUUUCAAAAUUAUGUUUCAUUUUUCUUUAUUCCUUAAUGAAGCUUUUUAUUAAGUUUUUUAUUCACCAUUACACCCUUAGAUGCACAGUGCUAGGAUCGUAGUAGGUGCUCAAUAAAUCACUGACCAUCGGGGAGGAGGAAUGAUAAGAAAGUAUGUAUUUUCUGUAAGUUCUGUUACUUUCAGGAACAGGGGUUUUAGGCUUACCAGUUAUAGAAACAGAGAGAGCACUACCAAAUUCCUUCUAUGAAGCCACAAUUACUCUUAUACCUAAACCACACAAAGAUACAACAAAGAUAGAGUAAUUCAGACCUAUUUGAUUUAUGAAUAUUGAUGCAAAAAUGCUCAAUAAAAUUCUUGCAAACUGAAUCCAAGAACACAUCCAAACAAUCAUCCAUCAUGAUCAAGUAGGAUUCAUGGCAAGGAUGCAGGGAUGGUUUAAUAUACAGAAAUCCAUCAACAAAAUUCACCAUAUAAAGAAACUCAAAGGAAAAAAAACACAUGAUCACUUCAUUAGAUGCUGAGAAAUCAUUACCAAAAUUCAAUACCCUUUCAUUAAUAAAGUCCUGGAAAUAUCAGGAAUUCAAGGCCCAUAUCUAAAUAUAGGAAAAUGCAAAAUACAUCAAACCAGUAGCUAACAUCAAACUAAACUGAGAAAAUUGAAGGAAUCCCACUAAAAUCAGGGACUAGACAAGGCUGCCCACUCUUUCCCUACUUUUUCAAUAUGGUACUUAAGGUCCUACCCAUAGCAAUCAAACAAUGAAAGUAGGUCAAAGGGAUAAAAAUUAGAAGGGAUGAAGUCAAAAUAGAAAUAUUUGAAGAUGAUAUGAUAGUCUACAUAAGCAACACCAAAAUUCCACCAGAGAACUACUUAACCUGAUCAACAACUUCAGCAAACUGGCCGAGUAUAAAAUUAACUCAAACAAUUCAGUAGCCUUCCUCUACUCAAAGGGUAAACAGGCUGAGAAAGAAAUUAAGGAAAUGACACCCUUCACAAUAGUCCCAAAUAAUAUAAAAUAACUUGCUGUUACUUGAACCAAGCAAGUAAAAAAUCUGUAUGACAAGAACUUCAAAUCUCUGAAGAAACUGAAGAAGAUCUCAGAAGAUGGAAAGAUCUCCCAUGCUCAUAGAUUGGCAGGAUGAAUAUGGUAAAAAAUGGCCAUUUUGCAAAAAGCAAUCUACAGAUUCAAUGCCAUCACCAUCAGUAUUCCUACUCAAUUCUUUAUAAAGUGCAAUUUGCCGUCAUUUGGUAUAACAUGAAACCCAGGAUAACAAAAACUAUACUCAACAAUAAAAGACCUUCUGGGGGAAUCACCAUCUCUGACCUCAAGCAGUAUUACAAAGCAAUAGCUUGUAUGGUAUUGGCAUACAGACAGGCAGAUCAGUGGAACAUAAUUGACACAGAAAUGAACACACACCCCUAUGGUCAUUAGAUCUUUGACAAAGGAGUUAAAACAUCCAAUGGAAGAAAGAUAGCAGUUUUAACAAAUAGUUCAACUGGAGGUCAACAGGUAGGAGCAUGCAAGGUGACCCAUUCUUAUUACCCUGUACAAAGCUUAAGUCCAAGUGGAUCAAGGGCCUCCACAUCAAACCAGAUACACUAAAAUUAAUAGAAAAAAGUAGGGAAGAGUCUCGAAGACAUGAGCACUAAGGAAAAUUUCUUAAACAAAAUACCAGUGGCUUAUGCUUUAAGAUCAAGAAUCGACAAAUGGGGGAACCUCAUAAAACUGAAAAGCUUCUGUAAGGCAAAGGACAGUGUAAUUCAGACAAAAAGGCAACCAAGAGAUUGGUAAAGAAUCUUUACCAAUCCUGCAUCUGAUGGAGGGCUAAUACCCAAAGUAUACACAAAACACAAGAAGUUAGAGUACAUUGGGCCAAACAACCCUGUUAAUAAAUGGGGUACGGAGCUAAAGAAAACAUUCUCAGCUGAGGAAUAUCGAAUAGCUGAAAAGCACCUAAAGAAAUGCUCAACAUCCUUAGUCAUCACGGAAAUGCAAAUCAAAACAACCCUAAGAAUCCACCUCACACCAGUCAGGAUGUCUAAGAUAAAAACUCAGGUGACAACAGAGGCUGGGGAGGACGUGGAGAAAGAGAAACACUCGUCCAUUGUUGCUGGGAUUGCAAACUGGUACAAGCACUCUGGAAACCAGUCUGAAGUUUCCUCAGAAAAUUGGACACUCCACUACCUGAACACACAGCUAUACCUGUCCUGGGCAUAUACCCAAAAGAUUCUCCAACAUACAACAAACACACAUGCUCCACUAUGUUCAUAGCAGCCUUAUUCAUAAUAGCCGGAAGCUGGAAUGAACCCAGAUGCCCUUCAACAGAGGAAUGGAUUCGAAAAAUAUGGUACAUCUACACAAUGGAGUACCACUCAGCUCUCAAAAACAAUGACUACGUUCAAUUCAUAAGCAAAUGGAAAGAACUAGGAAAUAUCAUCCACAGUGAGGCAAUCCAAUCACAGAAAAACACACUCGGUAUGCUGUUGGGAGCAAUGGCCUUGAAGCCCUCCAUUAUUGAUGUUAUUAUUAUGGUUAGAAUUAAGUAUGACGGGUUUCAUGGAAAAUCCCCAGCCAGCUGCAGAAGAGUAAUACAAAUGUGGUGGUCAAGAUGAAUAAUCAUAUGAUAACGUGUGACGUUAAGAUACCCAAUGUCAUGACCUAUAACCUUUCUAAAAAACCAAUAUCCUGCUGACUAAUAGAUAUGACAAACCUGUGACCUUUCUGACAACCUGUCAACAUCAGCGGAUUCCCUGACCACAUGAAUAUUGUGUCCUUGGCGUGCGUAAGUGUUUCUUACUUCCCCCUCUCUCUGUUACCCAUUUUAUGGUACAAAUUCAGCCUUGGGGAAAAAUAAAAUUGUCACCUUGAUCAGACUCUUAUCUUGGCGUCCUUCUUCACAUCUCUAGUCCCUCAUUCUCUUCCAGAUACUCAGCACCCCUCAUUGACAGUAUGCACUCAUUGAUAAGUGGAUAUUGACCAAAACCUCAAAUUACCCAAGAUGCAAUCUACAGAUCUCAGGAAACUCAAGAAGAAGGAUGACCAAAGUGCAGAUGCUCCCACUCCUUCUUAAAAUGGGGAACAAAAAUAUCCAUAGGAGGGGAUAUGGAGGCCAAAUCUAAAGCAGAGACCGAAGGAACAGCCAUUCAGAGCCUGCCCCACAUGUGGCCCAUAUAUAUACAUCCAGCAAAACUAGGUAAGAUUGAUGAAGCUAAAAAGUGCUUACUGAAAGGGACCGGAUAUACAUCUCCCCUGAGAGACACAUCCAGAGCAUGUCAAAUAAAGAGGUCAUUGCUAGCAGUAAACUACUGAACUGAGAACAGGACGCCGUUUAUGGGAAUUAGAGGAAGGAUUCAAAGAGCUGAAGGGCUUGCAACUCCAUAAGACCAGCAAUGCCAACCAAAUAAACCACUAGCAAAAGACUAUACAUGGACUGACCCAGGGGUCCAACUGCAUAUGUAGGAGAGAAUAGCCUUGUUGGGGCACCUGUGGAAGUGGAAGCCCUUGUUCUUAACAAGGUUGGACCCUCAGUGCAGUGGAAUAUCCAAGAAGGGGUUUCUAAGUGGCGUGGAUUGGGGGACCAUACAUAUGGGAGAGGGCAAGGCAGGGGGGUUAUGGACCAAAAGCUGGGAAACGGAAUAACGUUUGAAUAAAAAAUAUAUAUCUAGUAAAAAAACUAAAAUUUUAAAAAAUGAUAAUAAUACUAAGAAAUAAUCAAAAAAAGAAAAUGUGAAUAAGAAAGAAAUUUUAGGAUUUGGAAAAAGAUGAAUGCCAGGUAUUUGAAAAACUGUAUGACCAUGGUAAUCACUUUAAUAUACGUGAGAAAUUUUUUACAUGUUAAUGAACUGCAUCUUAUUUUUAAAUAGUGAAUGGAAAUCCAGUCCCUUCCUGGGUGUGAGUCUAGGGAUCCAGAUGUAGUGGAAUUCAUUAUUUGUUGAGUCCUGAACCUUUGAGCCUGCUUCUAACACAGCUUAUGCCAAGGAAACUAGGCCAAGGUGAUGUCUAAGCCAUUGACCAAACUAUCUGGACUAACAAUCAAAGGUGAAAUUCCACCUUGUAAAUGGGACGAGAGGAAUAAAAGAUACCUUUAAGGAUUAAAAAAAAAUGAAAUGUACCCAAAAAAUCCAAUAAAAAAGUUUAAAAUAGGGGUUGGGGAUUUAGCUCAGCACUAGAGCGCUGGCCUAGUGAGCGCAAGGCCCUGGGUUUGGUCCCCAGGUCCGGAAAAAAAAAGAAAAAAAAACAAAGAAAAAAAAGAAAAAGAAAAAAAAGUUUAAAAUAAAAAUAACUUAGGAAAUACAAAAUACUGGGGUGCCAUUCCACAAUCAUGAUGUGUUUCUUCUGUGAUAGCUUACAGGUUAAUUUACUUCUCUAUGACUGUUUUCUUAUUUGAAAGUAAGAAAUGGCAUCAUCUGUGGAGUGGAUACUGAGAACAAAAACUUUGGCUAACUUGAAUAAUCGAUCCCUACCAAGCACAUGCUUAACAUUCUAAGCACAGGGAAAUUUCCUGAGGGGAUGAAAAAACAAAAUCCAAACAUAAAACAGGAACAACAACGAUUUAAAAACAUUCUGCACGCUGGGUAUGAAGGCAUGUUACAACUUUAAUCAGCUUUGUAGGUAUUUCUAAUAAACACACAAAGAAACAAAAAUCCCAUCACAGUCCUAGCAGUUGCAUCCAACAAAGAGAGAGCUGUGAGGUAGUGCGUGCUGCUUCUUUCCCCAGAUACCCCUGGGCCUCAGGCCUGUACCCAGUGAGCUGGACCAAGAGCAGCCAGGUUGAAAUUCCUGCUGCCAUGGCAGGAUUCUGCAGGAACAUUUCCCUUUGACAACAAGGAACCUGUGUGGAGGAGACCUCUUGGUGAGUCCUCAAGGACUCUAUGUGUCCUAUUCUACAGGGAGAAGCCCUGCCAGGUCUUUGGCAAGGCCAGCCAGUUGUUUGGGGAAGUCUCUGGUCCUGUGGCAGAGGGUGAGGAAUGGCAGAAAGAAUGGCAGCUCCACUGAGAGCAAAGGAUAACCCUUCUAGGCCUAUGACCUCCUAAUUAAUUUAUCUCUUCACCUGAUGCCCUAUUCACAUUUUCUUACUAUCAUACAACUGUGAUCUUGAUGAGCAGCUGGUCUCUUGUUUUCUUAAUCAGUUCUUUGUUGUCACAGACGUUUUUAACUUACUCCAGCCCCUGAGACUUAUUCAUACCUUCUGUAUGCAGUAGGACCCUUGGUGGGCCUGUCAUCUCAAAAAUAGAAGGUUCAGUAAUCCAAAAGAUUGGACUCCACUUUACCUCAGGCCAGGAAAGAAGUCAGCCACCAUUAGUAAAAGAGCAAGGGAAAAAUUACAUAGGAAAAACAAGUGCCUUAAUUAGAAGAAAAGAUCCUCAACUUCUAAGGGGUGCACAUCUGCACCCCUCUCUUCUGAGCUUUGUAAAGUGAUGUUGUAUAACUCUAGAUAGUAGUAAAAGGCAGAGCUCUUCCCAGAAAGGUCAAACAUGAUUUUCACUCUUACAUCUGUGAGGUGGGGUGGCAUUAUAGCACACAUUCAGGUGGAAUUAUAACACCAAGGAUAAGAAGACAGAAUCCAUAUAUCACAAUGCCAAAUGGACUCCCUCCUGAACUUAUGGACCCAUUAAAAUUGAGGUUCAACCUGAACUCAGGCCAUUCCACUCCCUUCCCAUCCUCCUGAUUCUUAUGUUUGGUAGGAGUAAAGGAUCAUGGUGCAGCCCCCAAUAUUCUCAUGCCUAGACUUGCCUAUUCAGGAAGAAUGAUAUUGGAGAUGAGAUGGCUAUGUGGUUACAAUGUAGUAACACAAGCUCCAAGUUGACAUUUGCUCACUGACGUCCAAUUUAAUUGUCUUGUUAUAUUUGAGAAAGGGAGGAUGCCCUACUUAACAUAUAAAAGGGAAAGAAAUUUAUUAUUUUAUAUAUGCCCUGUAGUUGGUCCCUAUGUUCCCAAGGAAAAGGAGUUUUUAUUGCAAAAAAAUAGGAUUAUAGACCAUUGAUUUUGUGAAAUACAUGGAUAUGUAAUUGGAAACAAUGUCAGCUGUCAAGGACUGCACACUAAUCAACUAUUUCUCGGUUUUAUAUAUUCAGAGGUAUAGAAGAAAGAUAUUGGCCUCCACAAAAAGGGAAAAGCUUAGGAAUCGAAAUGUAUGUCACAUGCAUUGUCUCGGGUAGUAGAUUUAAGAAAAAACUGCCCCCUCCUUGGUCCCUAGAGAUUUGGGUGCUAAGAAAAAUCUGUUCUCCAAUUUAGGGUUGUAAGCAACUCUCCCCAGCAAAAGCAUUGUUGACUUCUAAUGAAGCAGAGAGAAACAUCUAGCUUUGAAAUAGAGGUUGCCAAAUGGUAUUCCCAGUGACACAUGAGAGACUGGAGGAAAGGGUCCCCACAGAAAUUCAUCACUUUGGAGAGAGUUGGUUAGUAGGUAGGCCAUAGAACUUUCCAGUGACAUCAUCAGUAAGCCCUUCACUGGACACUCUAUUGUAUCUAAGAGAUCCCUGGAAUCUUCUGUGAUGUCACCAGUGUUGUGGUGACACCAACUGCCUUUGGGAUAUUCCUUCAGUUCCCUUUGGGUUCACAAGCAGGCAUGUUUCGCCAGCUGCUCAGGCUAUUUCUGAAGGAAAGGGAAGAUCAAGGAGAGACCACACCAGGUCAGAGGGAAGCUGACCCGCUCUCUAGUGACACAGGAAGGAGGAAAUCAUUCUGGGGAAGGCUUGGCUGGAUGUCGAAUUGCCAGUACUUCAAUCUGAACAUGAGAUGAGAAUGAUGGCAAUGCAAAUGAUGACCAACUCAAUAAGUGAUGCCAUGGAGAGGUACAAGGAGCUCAUACAAGUGAACAGUUCCUACCGCAUCAGCCACUCCCAGCUCCUGCGUGAACAAACUCAAUUGGAGAACAAUAUACAGAUUUUGCUGAAUGAGAAGAGAGAACUGCUGGUGGAGCAGACUGAACUGCCAGCAUCCUCUGUGGAGACAAAGAGGCUCUGUGAAGAGGCUGGAAUGAACAUCUGUGACCCCAGUGCCAAGCAACAGCAGGUAGGGUUAGUCCUCAGGGUCAGGGUGUCCUCAUGUCUUACCAUAACCAUAGACAAACCAAUGUAACUGCCUAUUGACUGAUCCAUGUCCUGACCUAGGUCUCAUCCAAGUGUUCAUUCAUGUGAUGGUUUACAAGGCUUUCUGUGGAGAUAGCCCAUCUUCAAGAAACUGCAUGUUUGGAAAGCAAAUGCUCCUGCUCUUCAAGAAUCUGCAGUUUAUUAAGGGAGAUAGGUUGAUCACACAUCACAGCACUACAUGCCAUAUGUGUGGAGGGUGCUAUGUGGGAGCCCCUCUUUAGACUAGAGCAGGGCUUUGAGGGAUGAAGCAAAAGCCCAGAGCCCAUUUUCUUUGGAGGGGUCCUGUGAGAUUCCAGGAACUAAAUUGUUUAGAAGGAGGAGAGCCUGGUCGAAAUGCCAAAGAAAUGGUUGUCAUUGUCAUCUUUUGGUGAAUUUGUUCUUUCUCCACCAUUUUCCCUGUAUAUCAAGACCAUCUCUUCAUGCUUCCUAAAUCAUGGGUACCUGACAGAGCCUGAGGAGCAGCAUGUCAGUCCUGUUUUGUUCGAGUGUUGCUGGAGAGUUCAUAUCUUGACCUUAUACUCUAUAGAUGCUUGGAAAAGCAGGGAUGUGGAAAGGUGUUCUCAAAACCUGACAAUUGGCAUGAGAGAUUUGAGACUUCAAGAACAGAGUUAUCUACCCCCAUUCUCAUCAAGAAGAGUGCUAUCUAGGCCUUUUUGUUCCUCUCGGGAAAAAUGGCUGAGUAGUGAUUCUCUCUUAAAAUACUUGCUUUGAAUAGUCUAUAUUAUGUUGUUCCUCCAGUAUGAUGGGAUCUUCAUUGUUUUCUGCCGACUUGCAAUUUUUGGUGUGUGUGUGUGUGUGUGUGUGUGUGUGUGUGUGUGUGUGUGUGUCUGUUUGUGCUUGUUUGUGUGUGUGUCUGUGCUUGUUUGUGUGUGUGUCUGUAUGUGUGUGUGAUAGAGUAUGUGUGUGUUUGUGUGUGUGUGUGAGUGUGUGUGAGUGUGUGUUAGUGAGUGUGUGUAUAUGUGACUCUGUGUGUGUGUGUGCCUGUGUGUGUGUACCAGCUGUAGCUCAGCAUGUUUAUACUCAUGUUGUGGAUUUAAUUCUGUAUGAUUUUUGAAGUGUUUCUAGUAUGGGUUCUUUUGUGUGUGUGUGUGUGUGUGUGUGUGUGUGUGUGUGUGUGUGUGUACCAGCUGUGGCUCAGCAUUUUUAUGCUCAUGUUGUGGGUUUAAUUCUGGAUGAUUUUUCAAGUGCUUCUAGUAUGGGUUCUUUUGUGUGUGUGUGUGUGUGUGUGUGUGUGUGUGUGUGUGUGUAUGUGUGUGUGUGUGUUUCCCUGUGCAUAAUUGCACAGGUGAGUCUCUAUUGCCAUGUUUCAUGAGAAAAAGAAUCUAAGUGUUCACUUUGCCUCCAUGAAUAUCAAAUAUAGAACCCCAAUCACUUGGAAUCUCCACCUACCUCUGUACAGCAAAAGAACCCAAAACACUUGUAAAGUUAGAUUUUCAAGUGAUUAGGGAAAAAAUGACUGAUCUGCAUUGAAAUCCUUUGGAUCACAUCAAAGGAAUGGAGUACAUGGAGGUAAGGGGGGCUGCUUUAUAAAAUCCAUUGAUUUAUGAUCCUUCUCUGUUCUUUGUGAAUUGUGAAAGCCCACUGGAAGGUUGUGUCACUCACUGUGUCUUCUCCAAGGUUGCUUUCCACAUUGCCUGCUACCACUUCUUUCCAGCUAUCUUGGCACACUACAGCUUCCCCUGGGAAUUUGGCUUGGAUUUUAUUCAUUGAGAAUUUGAAUUGCUUGGAGUUGUAUCGUCAUCCAGCAAAAGUCCCAUAGCUAUGCUGUGGUGCAAGAACAGGGCAGUUUCAGGAGCCCCUUUAGGUGCACAGAUAAUCCAAAGCACUCUUCUAAGUUAUCUGUAUAGCAUUCUGCAAGUGUUGUCAAUCAACAUCAUUUUCUCUCAGUUAAUUUCAGCCUCAAUGGAGUCAGGAGAUAUGAUGAAAUUCAGACGGGUCUGUUAGUGGAAGAUCAGAAAGGCCUGUGAGAAGCCAUGUUCUUUAAGUGGAACAGGAGUGUAAGUUGACCCAGAGUUCCCAGAGAAAAGAAUAGGUGUCCAACUAGAGCAACUAGAGCACAUCUGGGUUGUAGUGGUCCAAGGAGGGAAACUGUAUGAGAGGUUGGAGCCCUUUUUGGGUUAUGACUCAGUGUGAGAUCAUCCAUGUAAGCAUUUAUUUAUUUACUCCAAAUAUCUGUGACACAAUCACAUUAUAGGUAGAAAAAUUGUUCAUAUGGAUCCUGGUUAUGGAGAUUUCCUAAGAUUCUGGGGUCAUAGCUUUGGGCAUGAAGUCACUCAGGGUAUGGUAAAGACAGCUCCUAUUAGAAGAAGCUGCACACUAUGGGGACAGUCUGAAACAGUGAACAAGAACAGGAGUCUAGUCCACCACCAACAUAUGAUCAUUUGCUGGGAAACAAUACUGCUCUACUCAGGCUUGGGAACUUGCUAAGCCAGAUUGGUAAUAGGGAAAGAACACUGAUUCUAUGUCGGCUUAUUGGAGGACACCACAUCACUGACUGAGCUGUCUGUAGGCUAUGACCACUAUGUACAUAUCCCACUCAACAUUUGUUUUUAUGCCUCCAGAGUAUCCUGGGGAAUCAUUAUAUUAAGCAUUAAAAGGGAAAGUAAACACUGCAAUGUACUAUGUUUAUAUUGUGUAAACACAAAUGUCUUGUGUGUUUGCGAGUUUGUAUUAGUGUGUUUGUGUGUCUGUGUGUGUUUUUGUGUGCACACAUGCAUGCAUGCCUCCAUUGACAGUACACUCAUCUGAUGACCAGGAUAAGGAAGGAUUAGAGGAAAGAAUGCAGGACAUUCUGAAGCAGAAAGAACCGAUCAAGCAGGAAAGUUGCUUGGGAGGAACAUUGUAGAAGCAUUCUGAUAUUUUUGAGAUCAAGUAGGAACACAGACUGGCAGAAGCCAAUUGGAUUUCCUGUCUCUAUAUAACUAUCCUUUUUGGAUGGCUGACCACUGACAAGGUUUUCCCCAUCAGUCACCUAAAGAACUACCCAGAGUAUUGUUCUGGUACAGUUUAUGUGAAUUUUGUCCAUGACACAAUAUGUAUAAUCCUCAGGAUUUCUUUGUAUUUUGUACUUCUUUCUUCCUGUUAACUCUCUGAUAAGAUCUGAGGACAUUUUCUCUUCUGUCAUCUCACGAAUUGCAUUACAAUAAGCAUAGUCUUACAGGAGUGCUGUUAUGUUUCUCCAUCACAAUAAACUUUAAUGUUCCUUGUGUAUGCUGUGAGCACAUUCUCAGUGAUUACAGGAUCUGUGCAGUGAGCAUGGAUUUGAAGUGAGAUGGCUUCUCUGUGUAUUUGCAGAUUCAGUGGUUACAAAUUGAACCUAGGCAGGUUCCUUCAGUGCUAACAUAAUCAGAACUUUCACCACAAUUCUGGGCAUGUUCUCCAGAAGGAAUCCACAUGGUAUUCUAGGUUGCUCAUACCAUUCUUGAACUCAGAUUCAGACCCAGCUACAAGGUAUUAUUCAAUAUAAUAAACCUGGACCAGUGACAAAAUAUGCUCAUUUUUCUCUUAAUUCCAGUACAGUGCAUAGUCCACAGUUCAAAUUCUAGCAGUUUGAAAAGCUGAGAUAUAAAUCCAAGCCCAGGUACUCUAUGACACUAGGGGAUGCAGGGACUGACCUCAGCUGACCGGUCAUGCUGGAUUGUCCAACUGAAUAGAGCUGAUGUAAGAGGGAGAGCUGAAUUGACAACCACUCACCAAACCUUUUUUCCCUUGCUCUGCUAGGCCUGAAGUUCUCCAUCAGAAACUCGAAAUGACACAGACCACGACAAGAUCUCCCUUGGAGAGAAGUGCUACAGGAGGAGAACUAAGUGUGCACAGCAAAUAUACCACUAUUGCAUCUCAUCUGUAAUGUCCAUAGCAAUUGUGGACUGCACUUUCCUCCUUUAGUUUAACUUCUUUGGAUUGAAUAGGCAGUACUUUCACCUCAGCUCUCUCCAGCAAGUGUGCACUUUUGGAGGGACCCAGAGAAGUGGUGAUGCACAUCAAUCAAGAGCUGCUGGUCAU